GUUUUCCAGGCAUGAAAAACUUAAUCCCAAAAUUUUUUUUUUGAUUUUUUAAUAAUUCCAAAAUAAGCCAACUCUGUAAAAUUUAUAUUUUGGGUGGAGGAAAAUAAUUGAAUCCAUUUAGAUUUUGACUUAAAUAAUUUUCUAACCCAAGUAAGUUUUAACCCUUGUAUAAAAUGUCUCAAAUUAAUCAUUUUAGGCCACCUCGGAAGUAUUCCUGACAUAGAAGAUCCCGCUUUAUCUUGUCAGGCUUAUCAUCCCAAAUGAAUGAAUAAAUUUUACUAUUAAGUUGACGUAACAUAUUAUCAUCUGGACCUGGGAUGGACAAGAACAGAUGAUUAAAUUUUGAUAUAAUUAAUGACUUUAUAAUUGUUAUUUUAACAAACGGGGUAAGUGACUGUUUUGACCAUUUUUGUAAAAAAAAAUCACUUUCUUGUAUUCGAGGAGCAUAAUUUAGAUUUAAUAUUCUAUCUAAAUCAACACAGAAAGUGAUACCCAAUAAUUUGAAGGUACUGAAACCCCAUUUCAGUCCCCACUUGACACAUAUUUUGUCUUGACUAUGUUUUUUACUACCUACCCAUUUAACGUUUGUUUUGUCUAUGUCUAAGUUAAUAAGAUAUCUCAGCAUAUAAUUGUAAUAUACGGAGAGAUGCAUCCAGCGAGGAAGCGACCCAUCUAAAAUAAGUGAUGUGUCGUCUGCAUAUUGAGACAAGUUAUACUCUGAAUCGUGUAUCGUAAUACCCUUCAUCUCAACACUAACUCUUACUAAAAUGCCUAAUAUUUCAGCACAUAGCAAGAAAAGGUUAGGAGAUAAAGGAUUACUCUGUUUAAAGCCUCUCUCCACACGGAAAAAGUCUGACAGACAGUUCUUGGUGACAGUAGAUGUAAUAUCAUUAUAAAAUGUUUUUAUCCAGUUCAUAAUAGAGUCUUCAAAAUUAAAAUUCUUCAGUGUUUCAAAAUGAAAGGCCCAUGAUAUAGAGUCAAAAGCCUUCUCAAAAUCAAUGAGUAAUAAUAUACCAGGGAUAUCAUUUUCUUCUGUAAAUUGUAAAAUAUCAUAUAUAAUAUAAAAAGAAGAUAUGGUAUGAUUGCCAAUGAGACAACUGUCCACAAGUGACCAAAAUGACACAGACAUUAACAACUAUAGGUCAUCGUACGGCCUUCAACAAUGAACAAAGCUUAUACCGCAUAGUCAGCUAUAAAAGGCCCGAUAAGACAAUGUAAAACAAUUCAAACGAGAAAACUAACGGCCUUAUUUAUAUAUAUAUAUAUAAAAAAAAGACAAAAAACAAAUAUGUUACACAUAAACAAACGACAACCACUGAAUUACAGGCUCCUGACUUGGGACAGGCACAUACAUAAUUAAUGUGGCGGUGUUUAACAUGUUAGCGGGAUCCCAACCUUCCCCCUAACCUGGGACAGUGGUAUAACAGUACAACAUAAGAACGAACUAUAAAAAUCCGGUGAAAAAGGCUUAACUCAUCAGAUGGACAAAAAUACAAGUAGACGUGGCCGGGUACUUAUACAUCCCGACACAAAAAAAGAUCUGAGAGUACUCGCAGUUAUCUGUCAGCUAGUUUAAAACCACUAGCAACUAAAAAAAAAUCAUACAUCUAAGACCAAACUAUCUAUCCGUACACAUCCAACAUCCAAUGGAUUUAGUGUAAAGACGUCAUAAACAGCCAGAGAAAAACAUGACAUUGUGCAAUGCUAAGUUACAGGUAUCGACAGAUUGUAGAUCCAUAAAUAUAUAUCUGUAUAUAAUAUACUAGUAAUAUUUAGUUAGCUUUUAAUUUACUGAUAACAAAAUCAAUAUUUAUACCAA
RNAcentral lists this long non-coding RNA (1819 nucleotides) under Mytilus galloprovincialis (Mediterranean mussel). The record is from RNAcentral. Lineage: Eukaryota; Metazoa; Mollusca; Bivalvia; Mytilida; Mytilidae.